Molecule: ribosomal RNA, 498 nt
Filed under: uncultured bacterium
Lineage: Bacteria
Description: partial 16S ribosomal RNA
Rfam family: Bacterial small subunit ribosomal RNA
Source: RNAcentral
AUUGAACGCUGGCGGCAUGCCUUACACAUGCAAGUCGAACGGUAACAGGUCUUCGGAUGCUGACGAGUGGCGAACGGGUGAGUAAUACAUCGGAACGUGCCUAGUAGUGGGGGAUAACUACUCGAAAGAGUGGCUAAUACCGCAUGAGAUCUACGGAUGAAAGCAGGGGAUCGCAAGACCUUUUGCUAAUAGAGCGGCCGAUGGCAGAUUAGGUAGUUGGUGGGAUAAAAGCUUACCAAGCCGACGAUCUGUAGCUGGUCUGAGAGGACGAUCAGCCACACUGGGACUGAGACACGGCCCAGACUCCUACGGGAGGCAGCAGUGGGGAAUUUUGGACAAUGGGCGCAAGCCUGAUCCAGCAAUGCCGCGUGCAGGAUGAAGGCCUUCGGGUUGUAAACUGCUUUUGUACGGAACGAAAAGCCCUGGGUUAAUACCCUGGGGUCAUGACGGUACCGUAAGAAUAAGCACCGGCUAACUACGUGCCAGCCGCCGCCGUAA